CUACGUGCCAGCAGCCGCGGUAAUACGUAGGGUGCAAGCGUUAAUCGGAAUUACUGGGCGUAAAGGGUGCGCAGGCGGUUCUGUAAGUCAGAUGUGAAAUCCCCGGGCUUAACCUGGGAACUGCGUUUGAAACUGCAGGGCUAGAGUGCGGCAGAGGGAGGUGGAAUUCCAUGUGUAGCAGUGAAAUGCGUAGAGAUAUGGAAGAACAUCGAUGGCGAAGGCAACCUCCUGGGCUAGCACUGACGCUCAUGCACGAAAGCGUGGGGAGCAAACAGGAUUAGAUACCCUGGUAGUCCACGCCCUAAACUAUGUCAACUAGUUGUCGGGUCUUAUUAGACUUGGUAACGUAGCUAACGCGUGAAGUUGACCGCCUGGGGAGUACGGUCGCAAGAUUAAAACUCAAAGGAAUUGACGGGGG
Molecule: ribosomal RNA, 418 nt
Filed under: uncultured bacterium
Lineage: Bacteria
Description: bacterial SSU rRNA
Rfam family: Bacterial small subunit ribosomal RNA
Source: RNAcentral